GUUUUAUCAGGUAUUGUACUGGGUUCCACCCUGCAGGUCCCUCACUGGUGGAUCUUCCUCUGGGUGAUGAACAGGGACCUCUGACCCAUUGUCCUGGGCAGAAAGAGACAAGCAGACUAAAUGGAGCCUAGUCCCUCAGUGUAGAAGUUGAUCAGAAGGAUCCAGAUGGGAGGAGGCCUUUCAAACCCAGAUUCUGCUCCCGUGAACUGAGAGACUUUUUCAUAAAAUCUCACAAUGAAGAAUAUGUAAUGGGAAGAAGGCAAUAUCAAGUCAGCGAACAGAAUAUAUUUCUCAUGUUCAGAAAUGGAGACACCGUUGAAAUAAGGCUAUCCUGUCACAAAAAAUAAACAUUGAUUUAAAAACUGCCUGCUUUUGUUUAGAAUACAACAAGAAAACCAAAAGUGUUUACAAGUACUGUAUAUGAAAUAAAGAAAUGUAAACACCUUAUGAACAAAAUAGUUUUAUUUUAAGACUUUAAAUACUGCAG
Molecule: long non-coding RNA, 487 nt
Filed under: Lepisosteus oculatus (spotted gar)
Lineage: Eukaryota; Metazoa; Chordata; Actinopteri; Semionotiformes; Lepisosteidae
Description: lncRNA (ENSLOCG00000021956.1)
Source: RNAcentral